Cercocebus atys (sooty mangabey) is the source of this 2847-nucleotide long non-coding RNA. RefSeq lists it as uncharacterized. The transcript is spliced from 3 exons. NCBI's taxonomy places the organism in Eukaryota, Metazoa, Chordata, Mammalia, Primates, Cercopithecidae. The record is from RefSeq and is a predicted model, not a curated record.
UCAGCUCAAGCAGUCCUCCCGCCUCAGUCUCUCAAGUAGCUGGCACUACAGGCACACGCCACUGCACCAGGCUCAAAGAAUUCUUAGCUUCCUUUUCAAAUGUUAACACCUUUUAUAACCACAUUAUAGGGAAUUAACCUUAAUAGUAUUAACUAUUUACAGACCUUCUUCAGAUUUCUCCACUUGAACCACUAAUGUCCUUUUCUGUUCCAGAAUCAGGUUUUCAUAUCACCUUAGUAUCCUCCCAUCUAGGAUAAUUCCUCAGCUUUUCUUUGUCUUUCAUAACCUUGAUGAAUACUAUUUAGUUAUUGUAUAGAAUGUAUUCGAUUUGGGUUUGUCUGAUGUUUUCUUCUGAUGAAAUUCAGGUUAUAUGUAUUUGGCAAGAAUACCACAAAAGCAGCAUUGUGUCUUCUCAGCAUCAUAUAAGGAGAAAUGUAUCUUCAGCAUAGAUUCCUAGAAGUGAGAUUUCUGGGUCAAAGGAGCCCUUAAGUCAAGGAGCAGACAUGUGCCAACUAGGAGGCCUUGGUGGAUGGCCAGUUCUAAACAACUGAAGGCCAACCCUGACUCUCACUCUGUCCUUGUAUCUUGUGGUACAUGCACCUGUGCAGUGUCACCAGUUCCAGGAAAUAAAUAAAGAGUUACACACAUGGCUCAUUUUCCUGCCUCAUGGCCCCCCCGCCCUCAUGAUCCAGUAAACAUUGCAGGCAUGAUGCUUCUGCAGACAUGGCAGUUCCUUCCUUCUAAAUAUAAACGCAGAGACACUAAAAAUAAAGUGUUAAAGGUGAGUUUUGUUGGUUCCUGAAAUGUCAGUACACCAAGUAUAUAAACUUAUUUCUCAGGGAGCCAAGAAGGAACAGGUGGCUAUGCACUUAUAACUGGGUUUUUGCAAAUGCAAAGAGAAACUGUCAGAAGCUUGAUGGACAGCAGCCAUAUCUUGAUUUUUUUUAAGUUGUGCUAAAAGCAGGACAUCAGGGAAAUAGUUCUUCCAUUGUCUAAUAGAUUUGUAUCAGGGUCCUUAAGCACAUGUAGUCCACAGGAAUGGAAUUGAGGCUUGAUAAACCCACUUCAGCAAACCAGGGCUGAGAGAAUGCAAUGACGAAUUGAUCAAUCAUCAGCCCAAUGAGCAAAGCAGGUGAACAGUACAGAGUUCCUAGAAUCAUGAGUCAACCAAGAGAGAUUUGUGCCUGGCAUAGCACCUGGUCCAUAAUAUACCAUUAAUAUAUGCAUGAUCAAAUGAAUAAAAAAGUAUCCCACACUGGCUUGUAUUGUUAUGAAGGCUCUGAAGGGUGAUGUUAAAUGCCUAAGAGUUCGGAUGAGAAAGGCAAGGCAGAAAGUGACGGCAGUAAGGCUCCGAAACUGAUACUUGGAUGUUGGCAGAAUUAGAAGUAUGGCCAGUGUGAGACUCAGGACAGGAUCUGCCAAUGUUCAACCUCACAAGACGCAACAGGUGACAAAAACAGUUCAUAAUCCAAGCUUAGAUCACAUCAAGACAAACCAGGAAUUCAAGAUCCCACACUGUAAACAAGGUCAGGCCUUGCCAACACCCAUCCCAACUCCCUAGUGGAGAAGAAAGCACACUUCAUACAGGCAACGGCAGACACUUGAGAACUCACGUUGUAUAACCAGUUACCACACAGAAGCCAUCUUAUCUCCCAAUACAAAGAAUGUGUCUAGGUUACUUCUACGACCUCAAUAUUACUGUAAGAUGUAUUUUCUACAGCCACUCCCUGUCUCCUCACCCUUCUAAACAAAUAACCAAAAGAAAACCAAAAUAACCAACCACUGGCAUUCUCUGAAGGUUGCCAUAUUUUCAUAUUCUUUCAUGACUUUGUUUAUGCUGUUUGUAAAGCCUUUCGUUCAUUUAUUCAUUUAUCCAUUCAGGAACAAGUUUUCUUAUUGGUUAAUUAUGAUUCAUUUUUUGACUUGUUGGUUUAUUGAUUGCCACUUAUGUCCUUAGUGCUGCACUAGGUGCCGUGGAUAUUGUGUUCACAUGUCUGUGAACAAAACAGAAAUGCUCCUGGCCCUCACAGGAGAGACAGAAAAUAAACAAAUAUACACAAAUAUUUACUUACACAUUGUCAUAAGUGCUAAGAAGAAAAUGACUCUGAGAGGAAAUAACAGAUGGCGCUGACUGUAGAGACUAUGAUUCGGAGAGGCCUCGUGGUUACUUACUCUGUGGAACAUUUUCUGACCAGCCCACACACCCACCUCAACUGAAUCAAUACUAUUCUCUGUGCUCCAAAGUUAUAGCUUCUAGUUUUGACUUGACACUUUUGUAGUUGUUUGUAUAUCUAAGCUGUGCACACAGACUAUUAAUUCUCUCAAUGCAAGGAGGAUAAAGAGAAAAGCACAUGGAAUUUGGAGUCAGAAAAACCUUAAAGUGAAUGCCAGUCUUCCACUUAAACCCUAGGAUAUUUGGCAAAUAUUUCAAUCUGAGUUACCUGAAAGUAGAGUCUGAGGUGUUAAGGCGUGUAUGCAAGUAGAUUACUUGGGAAGAGAUCCUAAGGAGUAGGAGUGAGAGAUGGGAAGUGGAACAGGGAAGAGGGAGGAGGCAAUGCAAGGAUGUGCCCUGGAGUUGGCCACCGCUAUAGACAGAGGGGCUACUGGCCUUGGAAGGAGCCAUGUGAAAUGGGCCUCAGAUGACAGAGGGAAACAUUUAUAUAUUGGCCCAUCCUCCACUGAUUAAAGGAGCCCACAUGGGCAUGACUCCUCUCCAUGUCUAAGUUGUACAAGAUAUGAGUGACCAGUGGAUGCAACAAGAGCCUACAUGAAGUAUCAGGGACGCCUCAGGGCAAGAAGCAGGAGUGUGGGCUGGGCGCGGUGGCUCAAGCAUGUAAUCCCAGCACU